UACAGACAACUCAGAUUGUAGCCUUCGCUUUAAUCCCUCUUUUGCCUAGAUCACCCUUUCGGGUUUUCAAUCCACCGGGAUACCCAUUUUUGCCUAAGCCGCCCUUGCGGGUUUUCGACUUACCGAGUGUACAAAUUCUUUUCAUUUUUUUUAUCCCUAACUUUUGCCCGAACCUUUUUUUUUUUUUUGGUUCGCCAGGAUGCCCUUUUU
RNAcentral lists this long non-coding RNA (210 nucleotides) under Lathyrus oleraceus (garden pea). RNAcentral's name for it is "Pisum sativum (pea) long non-coding RNA (PSAT_LNC002666)". Lineage: Eukaryota; Viridiplantae; Streptophyta; Magnoliopsida; Fabales; Fabaceae. The record is from RNAcentral.